UGGAGUCUCACCAGCUGCACUCAAAUCCCUGUUCAUUGUCUUCUCAUCGCUAUAAGCUUAACCUCUUCUUCUAUCAGUUUUGUCAUCUAUAAAAGGAUCACAAGACUAAUAUAAUGAACCUCGGUCUUGAAGAAACGCUCCCUCAGACAACAAGAUGAACCACCCCUGGCCAGAAGGAACAGACGGGUCAUGUCAGGAGUGAAAAAGGGAAAACAGCUGUGCGUUUUCACUGAUGCGACAAGUUUGUUUGCAGCAUAAGAAUGAGAAUCCCAAACCACAUUAUAAUGUCAUCUACUGUAACUGCUUCCUCCCUUUCAAACGAUGAUUUCAAGAUAAAUGAAAACUUUUGCC
This is a long non-coding RNA of Mustela erminea (ermine), 351 nucleotides long. RefSeq lists it as uncharacterized. The record is from RefSeq and is a predicted model, not a curated record. NCBI's taxonomy places the organism in Eukaryota, Metazoa, Chordata, Mammalia, Carnivora, Mustelidae. The transcript has 3 exons.